RNAcentral lists this ribosomal RNA (338 nucleotides) under uncultured Methanolinea sp. RNAcentral's name for it is "bacterial SSU rRNA". It matches the Rfam family "Archaeal small subunit ribosomal RNA", at positions 1001 to 1338 of the family's 1478-position model. Lineage: Archaea; Methanobacteriati; Methanobacteriota; Methanomicrobia; Methanomicrobiales; Methanoregulaceae. The record is from RNAcentral.
UCGUCAGUUCGUACUGUGAAGCAUCCUGUUAAGUCAGGCAACGAGCGAGACCCACGCCAACAGUUGCCAGCAUGUCCUCCGGGAUGAUGGGGACACUGUUGGGACCGCCUCUGCUAAAGAGGAGGAAGGAAUGGGCAACGGUAGGUCAGCAUGCCCCGAAUUAUCCGGGCUACACGCGGGCUACAAUGGUCAGGACAAUGGGUAUCGACACCGAGAGGUGGAGGCAAUCUCCUAAACCUGUCCUUAGUUCGGAUUGUGGGCUGCAACUCGCCCACAUGAAGCUGGAAUCCGUAGUAAUCGCGUUUCAAAAUAGCGCGGUGAAUAUGCCCCUGCUCCUU